UUGACUACGCAACAGACAACUACCAACGAGGGCACUGAGUUUAUCCGAUGAAUCAAAAUGCUUACAAGGCUAUCUCAUCAUCAUCCCCUAUGCAUAUGCAACAAUCCUAAAUGAAACACUCUAGACUCGAUCCUAAAUAUAAUGCAACUACAUGAACACUCUUUUUUUGUGAAAUCAUUUUCUGAAAUUUUUCAAUGUUUUUUGGUUUUUCUAUGCCUUAGAUGAAUGCAGACUCAAAAAUAUACACAAUGUAACACACACUUCCUGAGCCCUCCCCCAAACUUAAAUCACACAGUCCACUGUGUGAAUAAACUUGGAAGAGAGUACUCAGGACAAAUCCAAUCACAGAAACAAAAAAUGAAGAAACAAAUCACAACAGUUGAUAUAAUACAAUGGUGAAGUGAGGCGCUUACCUCAGUCGAAGAAUGAAUGUAGUUGCUCGUCAAUGGCUGCCUGUGAUUGCUCCCAGGCCAUAGACGAACCACCUUGUUCUGUAUCAGCUCCAGCAGGUGGGUACUCGACCUCAUCAGCUCUCUGGCGGCCAGCACCGCUCUGAGGAUACUCGACCUCUCUCCUUCUGCUGCGGCCAGCACCGCGGUCGCGUAAACUACGAGACUGCAGAAGUCGUCUGCUCCUACUGCUAGAUCGAGUGAGUGUGGUCCUCCUCUUCCUCCCAGAUUCCCGAGGCUCGAAUGAUGAAUGCCUCGCAGGGACAUGCAGAAUCUCCUUCUCUCUAGGCUCAGGCCUGCGCCGACUUGGCUCGGGCGCGUCAUAUCUCCUUGAAGGCAUGUCCUGAGGGAGAUGUCCCUGUGGAAUAGCUGUAGUGGAAGAGGAGCAGCUGAUCUUGUUCUUCAGAAACUUGAUAUCCCUGAGGCACUUGGCGAGUAACUUGUCCUGUUUCUCGCACCACUUCUGCAGCUUGCUGUUGUUCCUGUGUGCUUCGCUCAAACUCUUGCUUUCCCUCGCUGGAGGUAUGUGCUCACUGAAAUGAUACAUGCUUGUGUCAAACUCCGCCUCAUCUAUAUCAUCUGUCUCAUCAACAUCUUCUGUUGUAGCUCCUUCGGUGUGACUGAUCACCUCAGUUGGCGGACUGCCCUCGAAAUAAAGAUCUUCAAGCGCAGGCUUGAAGUCAAUGUUCAUGCCCUCGAGAAUCCUAGUAGCGUCAAUGCAGGGGAGGAGAAUGUUGGCGAUUCUAAUCGAUGAAUGCUCGAACCUGUAGCGGUGAAAGUCGCCAGCCAUGUCAAACUCCAAGAACUCACAUUGGCGCAAAUGAUCCAAGUCCAUCAUCCUCGGUGCUAACCCUGGUUCCCUGAGCGUUACUCCACAAGCUUGCAGAAUUGGCGUCACAACGCCACCCACGCAUAGUGCUCCUCUCACCUUCUUCUUUCCGUUCGUCAAUGCCCACUUCCUGUAUCCACACAGAUGGAUCAACAGAGGCAUUACUGGUGGUGCGUUAUUGAGAUCGCCUCUCAAGACGUUCUUUCCCUUCGUCCGCCGAAGAAUCCCUAUAAGCGCAUAAUCUAUCAUCUCCAUGUCCGUGUUAGACAAGGUGCCUGUAGACUCCCUGGAGUAAAAGACGUUGGCAACCGAUCGCUGAAAGUAGCGGAUCACAGGACUCCGAAUUUGGUUGUUCUUGGACCGCGCCGAGUUUAGCGGUAGAUUGUUCCCUAUAGUGGCCCACAAAUCCUUAAGCUCUUCUCUGUCAAAUUUGGGUUUGGUUCCCUUUCCACUAGGGAAACCAAACAGUUUUUCCAACUUCUUGAUCGAAAGCUGAUACCGCUGUUCAUCCACUGAGAACGUCAAGAAACCUAAUCCCAUGGUAUCCAGCUCAAAGUCUGUGAGUCCCUCAUACAUCUCCACUUGCAGCGUGGAAAGAAACUCGAUUGUCUCCUCCUUAUAGGCAGGGUAAGGGUAAGACAUGAGUGUCUCCAGAUAACACUUCUCGAACAGAUGUUGUACGUCCUCCAGUAACCCAACUGGGCUAAAGUCUCAUAGCACGGAUACCUCGUUCCCUAGAAGUCAUUCAUCUCAAAGAAUCUGAUAUACUCCUCCACUGUAACCUCGUCGGGUUUGUUCAGCAGCUUCGUCUCCUUACGCCAUGACUCUGGCUCAUACUCAGUUUUGAUGUCCUCAUCAAUCAGCUCAUAUCUACUCGACAUCGCCCUCUUUCCUCUGGCGAUUUCAGCUCUUCUCUGAUUACGUCGGGCUGUAGAGCGUUCGAAUUCAUCCCUGACCAGGACUCAGCUUCAUCCCUGACCAGGACUCAGCUUCAUCCACAUUGUAAUCAGGGUCCAUAGAGAAUUCUCCACUGUAGUUACUCAUUACGAAACCUGAAAGCAAAUGUAACUCAAAAAUAAACGUUAAUACGUUAGUUCAUACAAAACCAGAAACACAAACGACACAAACCAAAAACAGGUCGAGUAAACUGGUCGAGUAAACCGUCGAGUAAACCGAUCGAGUAAACCGUAGCCGGUUUUGAAUAUUUUUUU
Molecule: small RNA, 2489 nt
Filed under: Arabidopsis thaliana (thale cress)
Lineage: Eukaryota; Viridiplantae; Streptophyta; Magnoliopsida; Brassicales; Brassicaceae
Description: ATSL202500
Source: RNAcentral